UUCCCUCCCCUUUUGGGAAUUAAUUACAUGGACAUAAUGUUGUGUUCUUUCUAUUAUAUGGAGUAAAAGGGAAAAUGAAAUAGAUGCACCAGUCAGUUUUCCCAUUCUUUGGUAGAGUAAUAGCAUCUUGAAACUCUGUCAAAUUAUACAGAUUUUAAUUUAGCACAUGUCUUGUUAAAAUAAAGCUAAGAAUAAAAAGAAAUGUGCCCAAAGAGGUGCUGAAAAGCUCUUUGCAAGCUGUAUUUUUUUUUUUGGAAGGAUGUUUUUAACGAUCUGUACAAAUUUUCUGAUCUUUGUUUACAGGCAUUUCUCUGACUAACAGAAAUGUAAAUAGCACAUAAAUUGAAUUUCCCCAUAGUGGAUUGAAAAGUGCUGCUGAAAUAACCAGACAGGAGAGACAACUAAUACAAAGAUCUAUAGCAGAAGCAGCAAGGAAAUCCAGGGCACAGCUGGGCAAACUGUACCCAUCAACCUUGAGUAGCCAGUGGUGAGGAAAGAAGAAAGAGAAACAUGCUCCAUAUAUAAUGAUGGAAA
Molecule: long non-coding RNA, 534 nt
Filed under: Pogona vitticeps (central bearded dragon)
Lineage: Eukaryota; Metazoa; Chordata; Lepidosauria; Squamata; Agamidae
Description: lncRNA (ENSPVIG00000013429.1)
Source: RNAcentral